GGGCAAUUAGUUCAGUGGUAGAACGCUUCCUCGACACGGAAGAGGUCGCUGGUUCGAUCCCAGCAUUGCCCACCA
Molecule: transfer RNA, 75 nt
Filed under: Candidatus Omnitrophota bacterium
Lineage: Bacteria; Pseudomonadati; Candidatus Omnitrophota
Also listed under: 1 other name
Description: Candidatus Omnitrophica bacterium (groundwater metagenome) tRNA-Val
Rfam family: tRNA
About the family: Transfer RNA (tRNA) molecules are approximately 80 nucleotides in length. Their secondary structure includes four short double-helical elements and three loops (D, anti-codon, and T loops). Further hydrogen bonds mediate the characteristic L-shaped molecular structure. tRNAs have two regions of fundamental functional importance: the anti-codon, which is responsible for specific mRNA codon recognition, and the 3' end, to which the tRNAs corresponding amino acid is attached (by aminoacyl-tRNA synthetases). tRNAs cope with the degeneracy of the genetic code in two manners: having more than one tRNA (with a specific anti-codon) for a particular amino acid; and 'wobble' base-pairing, i.e. permitting non-standard base-pairing at the 3rd anti-codon position.
Source: RNAcentral